Molecule: long non-coding RNA, 843 nt
Filed under: Salmo salar (Atlantic salmon)
Lineage: Eukaryota; Metazoa; Chordata; Actinopteri; Salmoniformes; Salmonidae
Description: lncRNA (ENSSSAG00000098335.1, ENSSSAG00020084019.1, ENSSSAG00075041249.1)
Source: RNAcentral
UUAAGAUUGACUUUGAGUGUCCCUGUGUAAGAAUUUCCACAACAAUUUGGUGUCAAUGAAGAGGAUGAUUGAUUCUGCCUGCGGAGCUUUCCAGUGGGGUUCUGCGAGGAAAACCGAUGGCGCAUUUUAUGAAGCGUGAGGGAAAUUCCCGCCUGACCAAAAGACAGCGAGACUCGCGCAGACCAGACCCUUACUGUGGGCUGCCCAGGAGGAGACACAUAAUCUGUGAACAGUUAAGGGACAACAACUGAUUUCAGUUUUCAUCCUGGAGGAGACUGUGCAGGAGGCAGAGGAGGAAAGAACGGUUAGUACAGCAUGCCAAACUGACCCCUUGGUGCCAGAGUGUUCCUGUGCUGCGGUGGAGAAGCGGUCCACUGGGACCAUCACUAAAGAGCUCAGGGCCCAGCUAGAUUGCACUCACAACCAUCAGUAUACAACCAAGUCCUGCCCCUAUACGCCACAGAUGAAGCUGACGGAGAGUGAGAUCAGUGAAAACCAUAACUCGCUGUAUGAACCUGAGAGCUCAGAAUCACAAUCAUCACCUCAUCCUGAGAUGUUGAACUGUUGCACCCUCUAUAACCACUGUGGUUAUUAUUUUGAUGUAAAAAGGGCUUUUGUAAAAUGCAUUUGAUUGAUUGAUUGUUUGCUGUGCUGGAUGCUGUGUAUUCACUAACUCUCUGAGUGAUGGGACAUUUUUAUAGUAUCUGAAACAUAUUUAGGUGUGUAUUUAAUCUGCAUCUUAACUUCUUAAAGUGGCAAUCAGCAGUAGAAACAAUAACAAAGUGUCUCCCUGCUCCUCUUUCGGUAAAAAGCUGAGGGAUGGAGCUGGAGAAAUGUAACCAC